This 554-nucleotide ribosomal RNA is filed under the name uncultured cyanobacterium. RNAcentral's name for it is "bacterial SSU rRNA". It matches the Rfam family "Bacterial small subunit ribosomal RNA", at positions 236 to 803 of the family's 1533-position model. The record is from RNAcentral. Lineage: Bacteria; Bacillati; Cyanobacteriota.
UCUGAUUAGCUAGUUGGUAGGGUAAAAGCCUACCAAGGCAUCGAUCAGUAACUGGUCUGAGAGGAUGACCAGUCACACUGGGACUGAGACACGGCCCAGACUCCUACGGGAGGCAGCAGUGGGGAAUUUUCCGCAAUGGGCGAAAGCCUGACGGAGCAAUACCGCGUGAGGGAGGAAGGCUCUUGGGUUGUAAACCUCUUUUCUCAGGGAAGAACAAAAUGACGGUACCUGAGGAAUCAACAUCGGCUAACUCCGUGCCAGCAGCCGCGGUAAUACGGAGGAUGCAAGCGUUAUCCGGAAUGAUUGGGCGUAAAGCGUCCGCAGGUGGCUGCUUCAAGUCUGCUGUCAAAGCUCAGGGCUUAACCCUGAAUCGGCGGUGGAAACUGAACAGCUAGAGUGCGGUAGGGGUAGAGGGAAUUCCCAGUGUAGCGGUGAAAUGCGUAGAGAUUGGGAAGAACACCAGUGGCGAAAGCGCUCUGCUGGACCGCAACUGACACUCAUGGACGAAAGCUAGGGGAGCGAAUGGGAUUAGAUACCCCAGUAGUCCUAGCCGU